GGUUUGUGGCUUAGUGGUAGAGCACUCGCCUAACAUGUGAGGCACUGGGUUCGAUCCUCAGCACCA
This 66-nucleotide transfer RNA is filed under the name Marmota monax (woodchuck). RNAcentral's name for it is "tRNA.Val". Lineage: Eukaryota; Metazoa; Chordata; Mammalia; Rodentia; Sciuridae. The record is from RNAcentral.